This 853-nucleotide unclassified non-coding RNA is filed under the name Hevea brasiliensis (rubber tree). The record is from RNAcentral. Lineage: Eukaryota; Viridiplantae; Streptophyta; Magnoliopsida; Malpighiales; Euphorbiaceae.
AAGAAAAAAAAAAAAAAAAAACACAAAGAAAAGAUCAAAAUUAUUAUAUGUGUGUUUGCAAUUCGCAAGUAUUGUUCUUGCUUUUGAGGCUAAAAGUUAAAGCAAGCUUUUGUUUCCGAAAACAAGAAAAGAAUCUCUGAAAUUCUGAGUGGCUGACCCAACUAUUGGAGAAUCCGCCAAAUUUCUAUGGUGGGAUGGCUUUGGCAUGCAUGCAGGCUCUUUCAGCUGCUAUACGCCAUUCAAUAUAGUCCAUUUCCUGUUUCCUUUACCCCUCAUUUUUCGUACAUACACAUAACCUCAUUUUUCUUCAUUUAAUCCAAAUCAAAUUACCUUAGCCUAUUUUAGUCCAGUGAUUAAAGUCAUAACACUCGACCUAACAAAGGUUUCAUUUCCUGAUCUCCCAAUCUCCCUGCCUAGUGAAAACAAAACGAGAAAAAGAAAAAAAAAAAACCCAAAUCAGAUUGAUGAAUGAUGAGAACUUCUGAUAUUUAUGUACGUACGAAAACCACAGGCAAACUCUAGUAAUUAACUUGUAGUAAAACCAUGCAGUGGAAUUUUAUGACAUAUUCUUAACUAUUAUUCAACAAGGCUUUAAUUGGGUGGGAAUUAUUAUUGAUGAAUAUUUAUAACGAAUUUGAUAUAUAUAUAUAUAUAGACAAAGGAUUUGAGCUAAUAUAUGUAAAUAUGCUACUGCUGUGGCGGAUCUAAUGUAUGAAAAGAGGGGUCAAUUGACCCUUUUUUUCUUUGUUAAAUGCUUUUUAUAUUUAUAUAUAUUUGUAUAUUUUGACUUCUCAUAAAUUUAAUUAUUUAAUUUUUAUUUAAAUAAAAUUUAAAAUUAUUUGAGACAAAUAAA